Molecule: ribosomal RNA, 1489 nt
Filed under: Lactiplantibacillus plantarum
Lineage: Bacteria; Bacillati; Bacillota; Bacilli; Lactobacillales; Lactobacillaceae
Description: bacterial SSU rRNA
Rfam family: Bacterial small subunit ribosomal RNA
Source: RNAcentral
GACGAACGCUGGCGGCGUGCCUAAUACAUGCAAGUCGAACGAACUCUGGUAUUGAUUGGUGCUUGCAUCAUGAUUUACAUUUGAGUGAGUGGCGAACUGGUGAGUAACACGUGGGAAACCUGCCCAGAAGCGGGGGAUAACACCUGGAAACAGAUGCUAAUACCGCAUAACAGCUUGGACCGCAUGGUCCGAGCUUGAAAGAUGGCUUCGGCUAUCACUUUUGGAUGGUCCCGCGGCGUAUUAGCUAGAUGGUGGGGUAACGGCUCACCAUGGCAAUGAUACGUAGCCGACCUGAGAGGGUAAUCGGCCACAUUGGGACUGAGACACGGCCCAAACUCCUACGGGAGGCAGCAGUAGGGAAUCUUCCACAAUGGACGAAAGUCUGAUGGAGCAACGCCGCGUGAGUGAAGAAGGGUUUCGGCUCGUAAAACUCUGUUGUUAAAGAAGAACAUAUCUGAGAGUAACUGUUCAGGUAUUGACGGUAUUUAACCAGAAAGCCACGGCUAACUACGUGCCAGCAGCCGCGGUAAUACGUAGGUGGCAAGCGUUGUCCUGAUUUAUUGGGCGUAAAGCGAGCGCAGGCGGUUUUUUAAGUCUGAUGUGAAAGCCUUCGGCUCAACCGAAGAAGUGCAUCGGAAACUGGGAAACUUGAGUGCAGAAGAGGACAGUGGAACUCCAUGUGUAGCGGUGAAAUGCGUAGAUAUAUGGAAGAACACCAGUGGCGAAGGCGGCUGUCUGGUCUGUAACUGACGCUGAGGCUCGAAAGUAUGGGUAGCAAACAGGAUUAGAUACCCUGGUAGUCCAUACCGUAAACGAUGAAUGCUAAGUGUUGGAGGGUUUCCGCCCUUCAGUGCUGCAGCUAACGCAUUAAGCAUUCCGCCUGGGGAGUACGGCCGCAAGGCUGAAACUCAAAGGAAUUGACGGGGGCCCGCACAAGCGGUGGAGCAUGUGGUUUAAUUCGAAGCUACGCGAAGAACCUUACCAGGUCUUGACAUACUAUGCAAAUCUAAGAGAUUAGACGUUCCCUUCGGGGACAUGGAUACAGGUGGUGCAUGGUUGUCGUCAGCUCGUGUCGUGAGAUGUUGGGUUAAGUCCCGCAACGAGCGCAACCCUUAUUAUCAGUUGCCAGCAUUAAGUUGGGCACUCUGGUGAGACUGCCGGUGACAAACCGGAGGAAGGUGGGGAUGACGUCAAAUCAUCAUGCCCCUUAUGACCUGGGCUACACACGUGCUACAAUGGAUGGUACAACGAGUUGCGAACUCGCGAGAGUAAGCUAAUCUCUUAAAGCCACUCUCAGUUCGGAUUGUAGGCUGCAACUCGCCUACAUGAAGUCGGAAUCGCUAGUAAUCGCGGAUCAGCAUGCCGCGGUGAAUACGUUCCCGGGCCUUGUACACACCGCCCGUCACACCAUGAGAGUUUGUAACACCCAAAGUCGGUGGGGUAACCUUUUAGGAACCAGCCGCCUAAGGUGGGACAGAUGAUUAGGGUG